GAUGAACGCUGGCGGCGUGCCUAAUACAUGCAAGUCGAGCGAACAGAUAAGGAGCUUGCUCCUUUGACGUUAGCGGCGGACGGGUGAGUAACACGUGGGUAACCUACCUAUAAGACUGGGAUAACUUCGGGAAACCGGAGCUAAUACCGGAUAACAUUUGGAACCGCAUGGUUCUAAAGUGAAAGAUGGUUUUGCUAUCACUUAUAGAUGGACCCGCGCCGUAUUAGCUAGUUGGUAAGGUAACGGCUUACCAAGGCAACGAUACGUAGCCGACCUGAGAGGGGGACGGGCCCACAGGGAACUGGGACACGUGCCAGACCCCUACGGGGGGAAGGAGUGGGGAAUCUCCCGAAAGGGGCGAAAGCCUGACGGAGCAACGCCCGGGGGGUGAUAAAGGGUUUCGGCUCGUAAAACCUUGUUAUUAGGGAAAAACAAACGUGAAAGUAACUGUGCCCGCUUUGACGGUACCAAAACAGAAAGCCACGGCUAACUACGU
This 496-nucleotide ribosomal RNA is filed under the name uncultured bacterium. Its description in RNAcentral is "partial 16S ribosomal RNA". It matches the Rfam family "Bacterial small subunit ribosomal RNA", at positions 28 to 506 of the family's 1533-position model. The record is from RNAcentral.